Molecule: long non-coding RNA, 563 nt
Organism: Ictalurus punctatus (channel catfish)
Lineage: Eukaryota; Metazoa; Chordata; Actinopteri; Siluriformes; Ictaluridae
Source: Ensembl
GAGAAAUGACAGCUACGAAUACGACUAGAUCCUUAGACACAGCAGCAUCUGUGACUCUUCGCCCAAUGAAUAAUUAUGGGAUGGUGUCAGUAUCCCUGGGAGAUGUCUCUCCAGAGUCAAAAACUCCCCACUGCAAAGAACCAAUUAAAGCAGAGGCCCAGGUGAGCCCACCUGGUUCUUCAUUAUCCUGCUGUUUUAUCUGCAGCUCAUUCUCGGGGUGCGUCAAGACUCUGCAUAACUUAAAAUGAUUUAACUUCUGCUUAGAGACUGAUCAGAAUGAGAUCAUGAGUUAUGCACAGUAUGUGUGUAUGAUGAAUGUGAUUACUAUCCAGCUUUCACAUUGUUAAUGAAAUAUACUGUACCUUAGACCCUAAUUUUAAAUAUGUGUUACAAUAGCUUUUGACAAUCCCUGGACUUUGAAAAAUUGCUCUGCAUUUCUAAUCCCCCCCCCCCCCCCAACCCCCCCCCCCGCCAAGUCUGCAUCUUUUCCCUCUUUAGGAUGAUGAAAGGCCACCUACCUUCACCGGUUUGAAAUAUCAUCUCAGUUCUGUCUGCAACCCAAU